CCCAUUUUUCCCCCAUUACCCGGCCGAUAUUCAUCGGUGAGGUGACUCCCGAAGUUGUAGACCAGGUCGAGGUGGCGCCGCUCCUGCAGCCGGUUGCCCACCUCGCGGAACGCCUCCUGCGCCAUGCUCUCCAUCUGGCGCCGGCCCAGCCCCAGGCGGUGCCGCGCGCUGGCGCCGCGGAUCUCGCGCAGGAUGUCCGAGUAGUCGGGGAAGGCGUCGGGCCGGUUGAUGAAGCGCUCGAUGCUGCGGUUCACCUCGGGGUAGCGCGUGCCGCGGAAGCGGAUGCGCUGCUCCAGCACGCGCCCCGUGAGGCUGCUGCAGUCCUUGAGCUGGCACAGGCGGCGGAAGAUGCGCAUCAUGCGGCGCUUGAGGCGGUUCUCCUGCAGGUACGGCGAGUCGGCGCUGUCCAGCUCGGCCAGGUCCAGCUCGCGCUCCUGCAGCCGCCGGAUCUCGCUGGCGUAGACGCGCAGCAGGUGCUCCAGGUGCCGGAUCUGCCGCCGGGAGCCGCCCGCGCGCCGGCCCGAGGCCUCCGGGGGCUGCGGCUGGGAGCCGGGAUGCUGGGGUGGAGCGCUGGGAUACUGGGAUGGGGUGCUGGGAUACUGGGAUGGGGUGCUGGGAUACUGGGAUGGGGCACUGGGAUACUGGGAUUGGGCGCUGGGAUACUGGGAUGGGGCGCUGGGAUGCUGGGAUGGGGCACUGGGAUAUUGGGAUGCAGCACUGGGAUGCUGGGAUGGGGUACCAGGACACUGGGAUGAACCCCCAGGACACUGGGAUGAGCUGCUGGGAUACUGGGACGAGGCACUGGGAUUGGCGGACGAACCGCCGGGAUGCUGCGAGGAGGCGUCGGAGCACCAGGAGGGACCAUUGGGAUACUGGGAUGGAGCACUGGGAUCGCUGGAAGAACUCUGGGGACACUGGGAUGGAUCAGUGGGACACUGGGAUGGAUCGGUGGGACACUGGGAUGAACUGGUGGCGGCACACAGGGACGGCUCAGCUCCGUCGGGACGCUGGGACGAACUGGACAAACUGGGCGGGCACUGGGACGAGCCGGGAGGGCACUGGGAGGCACUGGGAGGAUUCUGGAAGGUUCCAUCGGGAUUCCGGAAGGUUCCGUCAGGAUUCCGGAAGGUUCCAUCGGGAUCCCGGAAGGUUCCGUCGGGAUCCCGGAAGGUUCCAUCGGGACUCCGGAAGGUUCCAUCGGGGCUCGGGGGCGCUCCGUCGGGGCUCCGGAAGGUUCCGUCGGGGCCGGGGGGCGCGGGCAGGGCGCGCAGGGGCAGGCGGCGCCGCAGCGCGCGCGCCUUGAGCACGGUGCACAGCUCGUUGAUGUACACGUAGACCUUGCGGCGCCGGCCCCGCACGCGCCGCAGCAGCCGGCCCAGAAUGUUCCGGAACUCGGCCGAGCCCCGGAAGUCGGGGUGGGCGCGCAGGUGGCGCGAGCUCAGGAAGGGCAGCACCUCGGGGUGCUCCUGCGUCAGCGGCGC
RNAcentral lists this long non-coding RNA (1481 nucleotides) under Junco hyemalis (dark-eyed junco). RNAcentral describes it as "lncRNA (ENSJHYG00000001996.1)". Lineage: Eukaryota; Metazoa; Chordata; Aves; Passeriformes; Passerellidae. The record is from RNAcentral.